RNAcentral lists this ribosomal RNA (457 nucleotides) under uncultured bacterium. RNAcentral's name for it is "bacterial SSU rRNA". It matches the Rfam family "Bacterial small subunit ribosomal RNA", at positions 338 to 793 of the family's 1533-position model. The record is from RNAcentral.
CCUACGGGAGGCAGCAGUUGGGAAUAUUGGUCAAUGGGCGAGAUCCUGAACCAGCCAUGCCGCGUGCAGGAAGACGGCCUUCUGGGUUGUAAACUGCUUUUAUAUGGGAAGAAAACGUCCUUGCGAGGCAGAUUGACGGUACCAUAUGAAUAAGCACCGGCUAACUCCGUGCCAGCAGCCGCGGUAAUACGGAGGGUGCAAGCGUUGUUCGGAUUUAUUGGGUUUAAAGGGUACGUAGGCGGCCAAUUAAGUCAGAGGUGAAAGCCAGCAGCUCAACUGUUGAACUGCCAUUGMUACUGAUUGGUUCGARUUCUGUUAAGGUAGGCGGAAUUGAUGGGGUAGCGGUGAAAUGCAUAGAUUCCAUCAGGAACACCGAUUGCGAAGGCAGCUUACUAGGCAGAAACUGACGCUAAUGUACAAGAGCGUGGGGAUCGAAAAGGAUUAGAUACCCUGGUAG